Molecule: ribosomal RNA, 496 nt
Filed under: uncultured bacterium
Lineage: Bacteria
Description: partial 16S ribosomal RNA
Rfam family: Bacterial small subunit ribosomal RNA
Source: RNAcentral
AUGCACGCUUGCGGCGUGCCUCAUACAUGCCAGUCGAGCGAACAGACGAGGAGCUUGCUCCUCUGACGUUAGCGGCGGACGGGUGAGUAACACGUGGAUAACCUACCUAUAAGACUGGGAUAACUUCGGGAAACCGGAGCUAAUACCGGAUAAUAUAUUGAACCGCAUGGUUCAAUAGUGAAAGACGGUUUUGCUGUCACUUAUAGAUGGAUCCGCGCCGCAUUAGCUAGUUGGUAAGGUAACGGCUUACCAAGGCAACGAUGCGUAGCCGACCUGAGAGGGUGAUCGGCCACACUGGAACUGAGACACGGUCCAGACUCCUACGGGAGGCAGCAGUAGGGAAUCUUCCGCAAUGGGCGAAAGCCUGACGGAGCAACGCCGCGUGAGUGAUGAAGGUCUUCGGAUCGUAAAACUCUGUUAUUAGGGAAGAACAAAUGUGUAAGUAACUAUGCACGUCUUGACGGUACCUAAUCAGAAAGCCACGGCUAACUACGUG